Long non-coding RNA from Prunus dulcis (almond), 743 nucleotides. RefSeq lists it as uncharacterized. NCBI's taxonomy places the organism in Eukaryota, Viridiplantae, Streptophyta, Magnoliopsida, Rosales, Rosaceae. The transcript is spliced from 2 exons. The record is from RefSeq and is a predicted model, not a curated record.
UCCUCUCCAGAAUUUGUGCCUGCAAUUAAUUAUCCAUUUUGAUUAUGGGGUUAAUUUUCUUAGUCCUACGUUUUGAUUAUGGUUUUAGUUUGGAGAUUGGUGUUCUGAUUAGGGUUCCUAAAGAUGGAAAUUUGGUUGAGGGGUUUCUUCUGUUGCAGUUCAAGAAAUUCCAGGUAUUGAAAUUCCAUUUGAAAAUUCCAGAGCAUUCGACAUUGACUAGCAAGCGUGAGUGGUCUGCCGUCAAAUUGCAGGUUCUGUUGUAUAUGAUCCUGUCGAAUGUUCCGAAAUCGAAUGCUUCGGUCAUUCUCGUAUUCUCUUUACAACUGGGCUGAUAAAAGGAAUGUGCCUGCGAACCCAGAUUUUGAACGACAUUAGAGGAUUUGGGGGAAUCUAAUGUUGGAGAAUCAGUGGUUUCAAUGGAGGGAAUCGAUUAAGGCUGAAAUGGUGGUAAACUGAAAAGUUUUGAAACGGUAGUUCUGAGUAUUUUGUAAACGGUUAGAUAGUUUAGAUGCGUUGUUUACCUACAAUGGCAACUAAUGUACAUAGAUACAAUAUUAUGACCUCUUUCAUUUUAGGGGGCAUUACAAUUUGAGUUUGGGUUUUCGACGUAGUUAUAUAGAUAGAUGGGUUUGUGUCUAGGGGAUAUCAGUUGUAUGAGCUUAUAUUGGAGUCUCUCUUAAUUUAUUUAUAUUAUUGUAUAUGUAUUUAUUUAAUCUGUGAAAUAUCAAUGGUUUUUUCUACAA